AGUGACAAGAAAUAACAAUACGGGACUUUUUGGUUUUGUAAUUGGAAUGAGUUAAGUAUAAACCCCUUUACAAGUAUCAAUUGGAGGGCAAGUCUGGUGCCAGCAGCCGCGGUAAUUCCAGCUCCAAUAGCGUAUAUUAAAGUUGUUGCAGUUAAAAAGCUCGUAGUUGGAUUUCUGUUAAAUUGUUUAUAUAAAAUACUUUGUUAUUUAUAUAACGCUAACAUAAUUCACAUUACCUUUAAGUAUGUGAAAUUUUACUUUGAGAAAAUUAGAGUGCUUAAAGCAGG
This 287-nucleotide ribosomal RNA is filed under the name Cryptosporidium sp. P111. Its description in RNAcentral is "partial 18S ribosomal RNA". It matches the Rfam family "Eukaryotic small subunit ribosomal RNA", at positions 466 to 784 of the family's 1831-position model. Lineage: Eukaryota; Apicomplexa; Conoidasida; Eucoccidiorida; Cryptosporidiidae. The record is from RNAcentral.